Molecule: non-coding RNA, 80 nt
Organism: Cercophora sp. LCS_1
Lineage: Eukaryota; Fungi; Ascomycota; Sordariomycetes; Sordariales; Lasiosphaeriaceae
Source: the annotation of a GenBank genome assembly
UCGGGUAUGGUGUAGCGGUAACAUCGCUGACUCUCACACGAGAUUCUCAGCAGCCCGGGGUUCGACUCCCCGUAUCCGAG